RNAcentral lists this ribosomal RNA (1450 nucleotides) under Gallionella sp. Its description in RNAcentral is "partial 23S ribosomal RNA". It matches the Rfam family "Bacterial large subunit ribosomal RNA", at positions 2398 to 2912 of the family's 2925-position model. Lineage: Bacteria; Pseudomonadati; Pseudomonadota; Betaproteobacteria; Nitrosomonadales; Gallionellaceae. The record is from RNAcentral.
UACGAAAGUAGAAUUUAGUGAACCGACCAUCACUCGUAGGAGUGUGGAAGAUCAUCAGAUAAAAGUUACCCUGGGGAUAACAGGCUGAUCUUGCCCAAGAGUCCAUAUCGACGGCAAGGUUUGGCACCUCGAUGUCGGCUCAUCGCAUCCUGGGGGUGAAGAAGCUCCCAAGGGUUUGGCUGUUCGCCAAUUAAAGCGGUACGCGAGCUGGGUUCAAACCGUCGUGAGACAGGUUGGUUUCCUAUCUGCUGUAGGCGUGUGUUGCUUGAGAGACCUCUUUCCUAGUAAAAUAUUGCUACUUUACGGAGAAAUCCGUAAUGACAAUGUGGCUAAUAACGGUGGAACCUUCAUAAGUUUUCUGGCAUAUGGAAAAAUAUCUGGCCUCGGUCGGCUGGAUAUGCUAUACUUACUUGAGGACCAGAAAAUUUUUAAGGCAAUACCGUGGGAAGUUGUUCUGAAAUCGAGCUCGCAUAUAUUGCUGGUUUCUUAGAUGGAGACGGGAGUCUCAUGAUACAGAUAAAAAAGAGAAGCGAUACCGGCGCACCGCGCUUUAUGCUCACUCUUUGCCUGUACCAGGAUACCCGCCACGAGAAACCCUUGCUUUGGAUUCGCCAAAAAUUUGGUAUUGGAUACUUGUGCAGGAGAAAUGACCAUAUCACGGAAAUUCGCGUGAAUGGUUAUAGGCAGAUCGAAAGGAUCUUGCUUCUGCUCAUGCCUUUUAUCAGGUUCAAGAGGAUCCAAGCGAAAGCAAUACUGAGAGCGUCAAGGAUUCUUCAGAAGAAAAAACUCUCCGAAAAAGAUAAGAGAGAUUUGAUAGAGUUCAUUCUCAUUGUCCAAGAAGAGAAUUAUGUGACAAAAAAGAAAAGGACUCGUGAAGAAUUUUUGAAGAUUUUAGAAUUAACCCCGUAACGACUUGUUUCAGCAUCAAGUGACGCUGAACAGACUCCUUUUUUUCCGGAAGGUCCUGCGCAAUGUGGGACAGGAAGAAAGGGGUAAUACGCCGCCACCCUCACUUUCGUAAGGAAGACGGGUGAAGAUAUAGUCUGCCCUCCAAGAAAUUGGGGAAUAAAGCGACGAGAGGACCGGAAAGAACGAACCUCUGGUGUACCUGCUGUCCUGCCAAGGGCACCGCAGGGUAGCUACGUUCGGGUAGGAUAACCGCUGAAAGCAUCUAAGCGGGAAGCCAAGCUCAAGAUAAGGCAACAGUCAAUGCGAAGCAUUGACGAGUGAAAAGUUUAAAUGUUUAUAAAGUCUAUAAAGUUUAAAUGUUUAUAAAGUAUUUUUGCUUUCUAAACUUUGUACUUUCAAACCUUAUGAACUCAUGACUUUUGACUUGCCAACGCUUCGCGUUGGCGGAUUUCCUAGAAGAUGACUAGGUUGAUAGGCUGCAGGUGGAAGUCCGGUGACGGAUUGAGCCGAGCAGUACUAAUAAAUCUAUCUAUACUUUCUU